Molecule: long non-coding RNA, 437 nt
Organism: Ornithorhynchus anatinus (platypus)
Lineage: Eukaryota; Metazoa; Chordata; Mammalia; Monotremata; Ornithorhynchidae
Exons: 3
Source: RefSeq, a predicted model, not a curated record
GUGAGUAAUGCCUUUUAGCAGUCUUUUGUUAAAACUGGUCACUCCAAUGUUUUCUCUUAGAAGUUUAUGCAAGAUGGAAAAGCUCUCAGCUUCUGAUCCCUGUGGGAAGUGGCCCUGGAUGGAACCCAACCCCUGUUCUUGAUAAAUUGGAAGGAUUAAUGCUGCCAUUCGAUUCUGGAUGUUGCUAGCUUCUUGGAUCCCCAAACAAUCUGGAUGAAGGUCCUUACGUGGAAGGAUGGGUUCGAGUUAUCUCUUGUAUCUUUCCCCAGUGCUAUACUCUUAUCUUCAGAUAUGUGAAACUUAUUUCCUCUAUCAUAAGGAAUCCAUUUAAAGGAAAUUGAUAUUUUGGUCCUAACUAUAAAGGAUCCAAGAGAGGAAAUUUGCAAGGAGGGGAGAGGAGUGAAUACUGUGGAAAUUAAAUUCCAACUGGACCUUGA